AAGGCCACUAUCUACAGAUCUAAGAUCACGUGUUGGAACAUAGACAAGCACUCUGUGAGAAAUGUCUUCACACACAGUACACAGGUAACUCAACACCUGGGAAGUGGGAGGUCUCACUCUGUACAAGUAAAACUUUUGAGAAGUGUGUUGUUUUUUUCUUCUCAAAACACGUUCAGGCUUGCUGCUCCUCUGCUCUGUGCUCUGGCUGUUCUGCCUUGCCAUUCCAUCCAGGCUGUAUCAUGACAACAGAGAAAAUACUGUCAGCGUGUAACACGGCUAACAGUCGAAGCAGCUUCGACUCAGGACGUCCAUACAUGUCUGCUGAACAAAUAAGACAUCUUAAUGAUCUUCAUGACAGAAACCAGUUCAUAAGUGUUCGAGUUCAACAUCCAUCCAAACAUCAACGAACCAUCAUCAACGAGUUCUUUGAGAAAUAUAAAGUGAGCACAGCAGGAGGAACAACUUUUGUGCCUGCACCUGGAGCAGUGCCAAAAGAAGAUUAAAACACAAGCAAAGAGGAACAGACAUACAGGACACUUUCUUCUGUUUUCCUUUGGCCAUUUUUCACAAUUUUCUCGCCAAUUUAGCCGUGUCCAAUUCCACCCGUGUCACCCAGUCACAACACUACCAGAGCUGGGAGGAUGAAGGCCAGCACAUGCUUAUUCUAAGUCAUGUGAAGUGCCACUGCAUCCUUUCGAACAGCCACUGAUACAACAUCACUGGACAGUUCAACAAGCCAGGAGGACAAAGCUAACUGCUAAUUCUGCCAUGUUAACUAACAGGUGCCCACAAGGGUUGGCAGGGAUGAUGAGAGGGGGGGCCGUCCCACACACUCAUCCCAGCCACAAAAGGCUGUGGCAUCACUGGGGAUCAAGCUUGCAGUCUCCGUUCAGUUCAUUAAUAAGCUGGUGAGUUGUGAUCUUUAUCCACGGAACCGAUAUGAAAGGUCACUGUGUCAUAAAUAUUUGUUUCACAUUGUGCAGGAGGAGAAAAAAUGGAAAAUAAGCCCCUCUGAAGAUCAGUAUUCAUUUAUUUUAAAGCUGAAUCACAUCUGUGCAGCAGUUUAGCAUGUACAGUAUAGCAUCUUACCUUGGAGGGCUUCUUCUUCCAUGCCUCAGCCUUGAGAGCUUAAUAAUUCAUAAUGGGUUAUGAUAUUUAAUGAACUACAUUUUACUGAUAUGUGAUUUCUUCCCUAUAAAAGCUACUGUAAAUAUGUACUAUCUAUACUAUAUAGAAUAUUGCAUGUGCUAAAGUAUAGUAUAGUAUAGUAUAGUAUAGCAGUUUUUUGACCAAAUGUUAUUUUUUUAUUUGUAUACUUCAAUUUGUGAAAAAGUCCAAAUCACAGUGUGAAUAAAAAAAAGAUAGAUAUGAUGUUUAUAGUGCCAUAAAAUAAAGCCAACAGAAAUCUAAUAAUUUCUCCCAGAGGUGGAUGAAGUACACAAAUCCUGUACUUGAGUUAAAGUAGAGACCCCCCAAGGUAAAAUAUCACUCCAGUAAAAGUAG
Long non-coding RNA from Pygocentrus nattereri (red-bellied piranha), 1503 nucleotides. RefSeq lists it as uncharacterized. The record is from RefSeq and is a predicted model, not a curated record. The transcript is spliced from 4 exons. Lineage: Eukaryota; Metazoa; Chordata; Actinopteri; Characiformes; Serrasalmidae.